ACGUAGGGGGCCAGCGUUGCUCGGAAUUACUGGGCGUAAAGGGUCCGUAGGCGGUGCGGCAAGUCGGAAGUGAAAUCUCGAGGCUUAACUUCGAGGCUGCUCCCGAAACUGCCGUGCUCGAGUGCGAGAGAGGCGAGUGGAAUUGCAGGUGUAGCGGUGAAAUGCGUAGAGAUCUGCAGGAACACCCGAAGCGAAAGCGGCUCGCUGGAUCGCAACUGACGCUGAGGGACGAAAGCUAGGGGAGCAAACAGGAUUAGAUACCCUGGUAGUCCUAGCCCUAAACCAUCAGAACUGGGCGUGAGUCCUGUACGGGGCUCGUGCCGUAGCUAACGCGAUAAGUUCUGCGCCUGGGGAGUACGGUCGCAAGGCUG
RNAcentral lists this ribosomal RNA (371 nucleotides) under uncultured bacterium. RNAcentral describes it as "bacterial SSU rRNA". It matches the Rfam family "Bacterial small subunit ribosomal RNA", at positions 525 to 896 of the family's 1533-position model. The record is from RNAcentral.